UACGAAGGGGGCUAGCGUUGCUCGGAAUCACUGGGCGUAAAGGGUGCGUAGGCGGCCUUAUAAGUCAGUGCUGAAAUAUCCCGGCUUAACCGGGAGGGUGGCAUUGAUACUGUAGGGCUUGAGUAAAGUUGAGGUUGGCGGAAUUGACGGUGUAGCGGUGAAAUGCUUAGAUAUCGUCAAGAACACCUAUUGCGAAGGCAGCUAACUAAGCUUUAACUGACGCUGAUGCACGAAAGUGUGGGGAUCAAACAGG
This 253-nucleotide ribosomal RNA is filed under the name uncultured bacterium. RNAcentral's name for it is "partial 16S ribosomal RNA". It matches the Rfam family "Bacterial small subunit ribosomal RNA", at positions 524 to 776 of the family's 1533-position model. The record is from RNAcentral.